AAUAAUUGCACAUAAAAUUUAAAGUAAAUUUAAAGGCAACUCCGGUGUAAAUCCGGGACAGUCACGCUACUGUAAAUUCUGAGCAAAGGAAGAAUUUACCUCGAGUAAACGAAAGUGUAUCGAGGAGUAAGUCCUUCGACUUCCGCUCAGGACAAGUCAGAAAACUUUGAAUUUACUAUAAUAAGUC
This 187-nucleotide non-coding RNA is filed under the name Candidatus Berkelbacteria bacterium. The record is from RNAcentral. Lineage: Bacteria; Candidatus Berkelbacteria.